UUGUGUAGAAUAGGUGGUAGACUUUGAAGCCGUGGCGCCAGCCAUGGUGGAGUCGAAAUGUGAAAUACCACCCUAAUGGUUAUGGAUAUCUAACCGCAUCCCUUUAGCGGGGAUCGGGACAGCGCAUGGUGGGCAGUUUGACUGGGGCGGUCGCCUCCCAAAGAGUAACGGAGGCGUGCGAAGGUAGGCUCAGAACGGUCGGAAAUCGUUCGUCGAGUAUAAUGGCAUAAGCCUGCCUGACUGCGAGACUUACGAGUCGAGCAGAGACGAAAGUCGGUCAUAGUGAUCCGGUGGUCCCGCGUGGGUGGGCCAUCGCUCAACGGAUAAAAGGUACGCCGGGG
Molecule: ribosomal RNA, 341 nt
Filed under: Enterococcus faecalis
Lineage: Bacteria; Bacillati; Bacillota; Bacilli; Lactobacillales; Enterococcaceae
Description: partial 23S ribosomal RNA
Rfam family: Bacterial large subunit ribosomal RNA
Source: RNAcentral